Molecule: long non-coding RNA, 4025 nt
Filed under: Homo sapiens (human)
Lineage: Eukaryota; Metazoa; Chordata; Mammalia; Primates; Hominidae
Description: HSALNT0369708
Source: RNAcentral
CUUGUUUCAGAUGAGACUUUGGAUUUUGGACUUUGGGCUUAUUUCUCCCAGAAGUAAAACUCAGAUGACUAGGACAAGCUGUGGUGAGAGAAGCCAUUGGCUGCCAUCUAGACUGUGUUGAAAGCACACAGUCACUUGUUAAAGGCAGUAAGUGUUCACGGCUGACCUUCGCUUGGACAGGGAGGCAUUGUAGCAUAAAGGAAGAAUAUUAGACAUUGAAUUCAGAGAAAUAUUGGCUUUACCACUAAAAAACAAUGUGACUCUGGGGCACCAGAUUUGGGCACCACCACAUGUGAUGUGGGGCGGAUUGGCCAAUAGAAGCCAAGUGAAGUCAGACGCUCAAGAUGUAACUAAAGAGACAUACCUAUUUGCGGCCUACUUCCUAUUCUCCAAGUGCAUUUUAAUUCCCCUGACUGCAUGAUUUUGUUCAGCAUUUAUGAAUAUCAUCUGUCUAAUCUGGAGAAACACGUCUUAUAGUUGGCCACUCUCAUGGUUCUUGUUGCCUUCUGUUGUUUGGAGGAAUCUAAGGAUUUAUGGAAGUUAUGUUGGUAUAUCAGAAGCUUGUUGGUAUAUAUUUGAGUAGAAGGGCUUCAAUGAAGUCAACUUAUACCACUAAGUGGAUUGUUGAUUCUUCGAUGGAUGAGGCUGUAUAAGGGGAUCAACAUUAAUCAAUGUUGCUGACAGGCUGGACAUUCAGCAGCAACCUUGACAAGAGAAUGAAGGCCAAAUUGAGUUUCCUUGAGCAACUCAUUUAACGUUAAGAAUCAAGAUGGUGCCCAAGCUCAGAUGACAUCCUUUCUAACCCAUUUGGAAGGCUCCUCUCAUAGGAGGUGUGAAAGAAAAGAGAAUGGAAAGGAACAGGCUCUUCUCUUGAAGAAAAGCCCUCAGUCCAUACAGCCAGACUUUGUCUACAUAUGCCUUUCUAUGGGAUGCUGAGAGACCAAGGGCUUCUGACAUAGACAUGUGAGAAAUACUGGCUUUAAGUAUACUAUACUCAGUGUCAAAAGCUUUCAGGAUGCAAGAAAUUCCUGAAUUUGAGUCUCCAAAAUUUUAAACAAGGAAAGGAAGUAAAAAUUAUCUCUUUUUCGAUGUAUGGCCCUAUAGUUGGCCAAAAAUGAUUGCUUCUGUUGUUAGAUAUUCAUGUAUAUUUAAGAUUAAAGAAGGUGAUAUUGAUGUGCAAAUAUGAGAGUAAAUUGACAGACAGAUAACCUAAAAAAGUACAGUAAAAUAAAGUUAAGAGUUGUGAUGAAUACCUAAAGGUCCAUUGCCAGAUGAAUGUGAAGACGGAAUGUGAUUUAUAUAUAUAGUGGAAUAUUAUUCAAUUAAAAAGAAAAUGCUAACACUUGCUAAUAUAUAUAAACCUUCAAGACAUUAUGCUAAGUGAAAGAAGCCAGAUACCAAAGGACAAAUAUUGCACUGUUCCACAUAUAUGAAGUGAACAUCACAUAUUGCUGAAGUUCUCAUCAUCAGAAAGAGGCAGAGCUAAGAUUUAAAUCCAGACAUGCCUGGUUCUGAAUUCAGUUGUCUUCCUACACCCAGGAGCUUAUUACAUGCAUUGUGCUAGUCUUCCUGGAAAUCAGGCAAACUCAGUCCACUGCACCUCAUCUCCUUAUGUAAUAACCUGGAGAGCGGUGAGAGCCAUCUGCUUCAAGAGCGACAUAUUUGAGUCCAUAAGGUAAUAGGUUGGCAGAGAACAGAAGGAUUAUGGCAUUGCCAUUUGGCAUUCUUGACUUACUCUGCAUUUAUAAAAUCGAAAUACAUAGUCCAUCAUGUUCUCACAGAGCCUACCAUUAUCAGUCAUUCUGAAAUAAACAUGGUUAGGGACAUCAUAUUCAAAAUAAGUGAUCCUUGUUUUCGGGAAUGAUGUCUGGCAGGAGGAGUUUUUAAAUCCUGCUUUCUGAAGCACUAGCUUACAAAUGACUUUGUGAAGUGUAUUUUGAUUCUGGGGCCCAAGAAGGAGAAAAACAAGUAAGGGAGAAAAACAUAGGCUGGAUCUUAAGAUCACAAGAUAACAGAUGGAUUAAAGGGUAGAAGCCAGAGCAGAGGUUCCAAAACAAGAUUGAUCAUUCAAAUUCAUCUGAAGAACUUUAAAUAUAUGUAUUUACCUGAACCCAGCUUCAGGAAUGAGGCUCAGACAUCUGUGUAUUUAAAAUCUCCUGUGGUUAUUCUGAUAAUUAGCCUCAGUUUUGAGUCAUCUAACAAAGAAAAAGCAAAACAUAUGUCAAUCAGUUUAUCUUACUGUAAUUAAACUUCAGUGGGAAACAUGAGGUGACCCCAAAGAACUGGUUAAGUGUGGCUUAAGAAUUAGUUAAGCAAAUGUACCAAAAGACAAUUUUAAAAAACCAAAUAAAAAGAAAUUUUAGUUUAUUCUCAGGGGCUUUCACAGGAGUCUAUAAAAAUCUCAAAAACAUCCAGGAAGCUCCCAUCGAAUAAUUUGGCUACCUGAAGUGCUGAAUAAAAGGAGCUCUCCCAAAAGAAGCUGUGAAUUCUCUAUCAGGCCCAUGUCCACUCUUCUAGUCAUAGCCUUACUUCUUAAAGAAAGAGAGAAGCUCUAAUCCAAAUCCAAACAUAGGACAUAUGGCGAAGAUUAUUCUGAGAGACACAGUCCCAGAUUCUCCUCUGCUAUACAGGUGUGACAAAAAAGGAGCAAGAACAAAGACUCUAACAUAAUCCUUAGAUGUUUAUAAUAGAAAAAAGAAUGGAAAGAAAUAAACUUUAGCAUUUACACAGGUUGAGCUGACCUAAUCUGAAAAUCCAAAAUCCAAACUGCUAAAAAACUGAUUGAGUUCUGAAGCUUUGAGUGUCAAAAUGGCUCCACAAGUAGAAAGCUCCACAUCUGACCUCAUGUGAUAGGUCACGGUCAAAAUGCAAUCAAAAUUUUGCUUCAUGCCCAACAUUAUUUAAAAUAUUGUAUAAAAUUACCUUUGGCUAUAUAUUAAUAUGUAAGGUAUAUAUAAAACAUUAGUGAUUUUUGGUUUAGUCUUGGAUCCUAUCCCCAUAAUAUCUCAAUAUAUGUAUGCAAAUAUUCCAACCUCCCUGCGCCCAAAAAAUCCAAAAUCCUAAGCACUUCCAAAAUCUAACAGUAAAACAGGCUGAGUAUCCCAAGCAUUUUGGAUAACAGAUGUUCAACCUGUAUCACUUGGGGUCCAUUCAGGGGAACAAACCCCACGAGGUAUUUCAACAGAGAUAAUUUCAUAUAGGGAAUUUGUUAAUCAGAUGAUGGGGAACUGAAAAGGAAAAUGAGAACAUUAGAAGAGAUCAUUACAAAAAGCUGCUACCUCCCCUCAGGCUGGAGGAAUGAAAGGAAGCUGAGAUCAGGAAGCUCAUUGGGAAGCUGAUCAAAACUUACAAGGUUCAUAGAGGGGCCCAAAGAUUUAGGACUCAGAAUUCCAAGGAGGGUGUUACCUACCUCCAAGGAGGCUGCUACUGAAAUCUCAGGAGCUUGGAGGGAGGGUCUCACACAAUGGGGGCCUAACCUCUGAAGUGAGGAGCUACCAGCUAGUGCUGGUACCUCAGAAGUUGGGAAGAGGUCCUGUGAUGUUGAGAUGCAGACACAUAAUGAGUGGGCUCUGCAGCUGGUGGUCGUGAAGGGGCACAAUGACUCUGUUAGUGGGAAUGGCCCGAUGAUCUGAAAGCUGUAAUUAACAGCUGCUGCCAGGGUAAAAGGCCAAAGUGGGGUGAUCUGAUGGGAAAAAAUAAACAAGCAGAAAUGAACAAGUUCCUUCUCCCCUUCUCCUGCCAUUUACUCUUCCCCUAGUUCUUCCUAUUGAUGGAAAUUAAUAGUAAGCCUUCUGACAAAGGAGACAUGUUGUCUUCAGAACCAUCAUCACAAAGUAGAGGCUAGGAAAGUAGAUGUGGAACCUAAUACCGGGUGAAUCAUUCAUCGCACAGUUUCAAAGGUGGCAACAGAAUUAGCCAAAAGCAAGUAUAGGAUGAAAAUAACAAAGGGAAGGGCAGAAAUAAAAUAAGACAUAAACAUUUGAUAGAGAGGACCAACAAAACAAAAUUUUAAUUCAGUGGGAAAA